Molecule: ribosomal RNA, 119 nt
Filed under: Musa acuminata subsp. malaccensis (wild Malaysian banana)
Lineage: Eukaryota; Viridiplantae; Streptophyta; Magnoliopsida; Zingiberales; Musaceae
Source: RNAcentral
GGGUGCGAUAAUGCCAGCAAUAAAUCACCGGAUCCCAUCAGAACUCCGAAGUUAAGCGUGCUUGGGCCAGAGUAGAACUAGGAUGGGUGACCCCCCGGGAAUUCCUCGUGUUGCACUCC